RNAcentral lists this ribosomal RNA (468 nucleotides) under uncultured bacterium. RNAcentral's name for it is "partial 16S ribosomal RNA". It matches the Rfam family "Bacterial small subunit ribosomal RNA", at positions 28 to 507 of the family's 1533-position model. The record is from RNAcentral.
GACGAACGCUGGCGGCGUGCUUAACACAUGCCAGUCGAACGGAAAGGCCCUGCUUUUGUGGGGUGCUCGAGUGGCGAACGGGUGAGUAACACGUGAGUAACCUGCCCUUGCCUUUGGGAUAACUUCAGGCAACUGGGGCUAAUACCGGCUAGGAGCUCCUGCUGCAUGGUGGGGGUUGGAUAGUUUCGGCGGUUGGGGAUGGACUCGCGGCUUAUCAGCUUGUUGGUGGGGUAGUGGCUUACCAAGGCUUUGACGGGUAGCCGGCCUGAGAGGGUGACCGGCCACAUUGGGACGGGGAUACGGCCCAGACUCCUACGGGAGGCAGCAGUGGGGAAUAGUGCACAAUGGGCGGAAGCCUGAUGCAGCAACGCCGCGUGCGGGAUGACGGCCUUCGGGUUGUAAACCGCUUUCGCCUGUGACGAAGCGUGAGUGACGGUAAUGGGUAAAGAAGCACCGGCUAACUACGUG